GAAUAUGCACGAGUAACCGAUUGUUUACGCACGAAGUGAUCGAGCGCGCACGAUGAGCUGUCGAUUUCGCACGACGCGAACACAGCACGCGCUCAACGUUCGCUUGAGUACGAAUCACAAUGUUUUGCAGAAAAAAACGUCGAAGAAUCUGGUACCUAGAGACAGAACCAGCGGGCAUUAAUAACAACACGAUCAGUCUCGAUGCUGGCGCCUAAAGGAGUAGGUGAUUCUCGAGCGUACAGCGACGAAUAAAAUUUUUAGUCAAUCGCUGUCGGUGAAAUUUGUAUUCGUUGUAUCUACGGUAUAAAUGUGUUCCACAAUAUGAUCUAUAAAGCGAUUCAAGAGACUACGCCGCCAAUAACUGGGAUCCGACAGCUUUGAGAACGUUCAUCGACAUUUCGAAAUAUCCUCCGGAAUCGAUUCUCGCAGUGAACGCUAGCUGAAGACGAACAAGUGUCCGUAUUUGUGCGUAUCGCGUGUACCCUCGUGAACGGUGUUUGUUUUCUGUGUCAAAUAUCGAAAGGUUCGGACCGUAUUCGGUGAUUCGUAAAUUUACGCGCGGAAUAGUGUAAAAAAUAAAACCGUUUCUGAAAAAGAAAAGAAAGAAAAAAGAGAAAUUAAAAGUGCAUUCGGUUGUUCAAAUCGCCGGGGUGUACACGUCAGUUCGCACGCGUACGUCAGAGUUUGAGGGUUGACGCCUUCAAACCGGAAACGAGGAUUAAUCCUGUCUUCCUCAAGAAUAAACGAGGACGAGGUAAGGCGGCACCGCGAACCGGUUGCCAGGAGGAUCCCUAUGAAAAUGCUUCAAUCGUUGAACGCUCUGGCGGGUAAGAUCUCGCCAGGCUCGCCGACUGACAGCAACGCAAACAAGGUGCACAUGCACAACAACAACAACAACGUCGUGCACCAUCAUCAUCCUUAUUCGAAGCAGCAGGCCCAGCAACCGUCGCCGUCGUCGCAGUCGAGCAACGGUGACCAGAAGGAAAACACGUAAGUAAUCAUCGCAGAUUCCGAGGCCGCGACCUUGCAAAUCUGAUCGAAUCACCUACGUAAGUGUCAAUUGUCGACAGAGUCGAUAGAUCGAUGCAUUUUUGCCAAGUGUAGAAAUCAAAUGAAAAAUUUCAAAUUUUACUUAUAGUUGCUAUGUUAUAGUUCGUAUGAUUUUAGUCCGAAAGUGGUUCAUGCGUGUCGGAUAGUUAUUUAGGGAUUUUAGUGUAGUUUAUAUUAUACGUAUUAACUCAUAAUACGUAAUUGCUUAACGUGUUUAUUUCUAUGAGCGUAUGACUCGGAGAUCAGAACACGAACGGACAACACAAGACCUCGAAGUCGUUAAGUUUACAAUACACAUAAUAGAUGUCGCGAUUAGUAAAUGGUUCCUACAACGUGCAAUAAUUUCAUUUUACACUUUUGAUCGCGUGUAAGUUAUUUUAAUUAGUUUACAUUUUUGUCAAUAUAAAAUUUUCGUCGUGGACUUAAUCGAACGGUUCGCAACGUGUCAAAAAGUCGACCCUUCAUUUCUUUUUUUUUUUUUUUUUUUUUCGAUCGCAAGGGAGUACAACGAAUGCAGUGCACGCGUUUGCGGAUGAGGUCGACCGAAAUUUCAGCGCGGCUGUAAUCGCGCUCUCGCGGAACGGAGUUUCCCGCGCUCGGAACGGUGAUUCACGGACGACCGGCAGCGAGAAACGCGCGACCAAUUGAAAAAGAAGAGGCGCAUUAAUUUUGAAUUUUUACUUGACGGCCAUUGUUCCAUCCAGCGACGCAGUUCACCUCCGCGGGCACGGCCAUUUUACGAGCUUCACUUUACGCCCGUGUUAUAUUCGUUUCGUGUUGAAAAAUGAAUUUCAUUCAGUAGUGUUAAAAAAUAUAUAAGCAAACGUUAACCUUCGAGAAAUUACAAAAUUCAAAAUAUGCAACAGAAAGAGUGCACAAUACUUUACUUAAAAAUAAACACAAUUAUGUACGUAGUACGAUGAUCGAAGUUUCGAGCAAUUUCUAUGUCAACAGACACGCUUGUCAAGAAGAAAACGCGUAAUUCUUAUCUACGAAAUCAUUUCACUCGAAUGGAUAUCGUUACAAGCGUGACAUUGCAUACGUUUAUAAAUACAAACACGAAGUUAAACGGAAGCCUAAAAAGUCGAGAGUUACUACACUCGUACUCGAUUUUCUCGAAAACGAAGACACGUACGGAAAAAAUUGUAUUCUCCACUUUCGACUUGGUUUUCCAUCGUCAUUGUAGGAUCACCCUGUACAAUAGAUAGGUGGAGGCUAUACACUCGGUCCACACACGUUACGACCUGAGGGACUCUAAACCUAGGGGCUAUAAUACUUGGAAGGUUAACGGUGAACAUAAUGGCGUUAUCGUAUCCUCGCGACGUAAACUGAAACACGCUUUAACCAUCCAUUAAACUGGCACGUCUUUAACUCCCUCAACGGGCGAUUUUACGCGCGUUUAGAUUUCCGGCUUAUCUCUUACGUCGAAGCCGUGGUUAAGGGACGAUUAGUAGGACAGUUUUCUCUCGAAUUUCCGAGCGGGACGUGAAAAGAGGAAAACAAAAAACUUGCGAUUAUCCGAUCAUCGGCUGAGCGGAGAUUCGUGUGAGGAAUUGCGCUCGCCGUGUCAUGUCGGGACCAUUUUUCAUUUUCUUGAACCACCGGCAGACAGCCGGUUUAAAGCUCCGGUCUGAUACUAAACGGUAACGGUAGCGAUUGUUGACCAGUUAAGACAAAUUUAUCGCAUGAAUAGUGGUAGCAUCUUUCUUUAUCAUUAAGUAACGACGGUGAAUGGCUAAUGACGCGCCUAAACUCUUUAAAUUGUGUAAUGGAGAAAGAUUUUAACAAGAAUUGCGUAAAAAAAUUGGGAGACUAUUUUUAAAAAUUCAGUAACCGCUGUAAAAGUUGACCAUUAUUAGAAAUU
Molecule: RNA transcript, 2914 nt
Organism: Hylaeus anthracinus
Lineage: Eukaryota; Metazoa; Arthropoda; Insecta; Hymenoptera; Colletidae
Exons: 3
Source: RefSeq, a predicted model, not a curated record